Ribosomal RNA from Aciduliprofundum boonei T469, 1478 nucleotides. It matches the Rfam family "Archaeal small subunit ribosomal RNA". The record is from Rfam. NCBI's taxonomy places the organism in Archaea, Methanobacteriati, Thermoplasmatota.
ACUCCGGUUGAUCCUGCCGGAGGCCACUGCUAUCGGGCUCCGACUAAGCCAUGCGAGUUUAGGGGCUCCUUCGGGGGCACCGGCGGACGGCUCAGUAACACGUGGACAACCUACCCUCGGGUGGGGGAUAACCUCGGGAAACUGAGGCUAAUACCCCAUAGGGGAAAGGUACUGGAAGGUCCUUUCCCUGAAAGCUCCGGCGCCCGAGGAUGGGUCUGCGGCCUAUCAGGUAGUUGGUGGUGUAAAGGACCACCAAGCCUGCGACGGGUACGGGCCCUGAGAGGGGUAGCCCGGAGAUGGACUCUGAGACACGAGUCCAGGCCCUACGGGGCGCAGCAGGCGCGAAACCUUCGCAAUGCGCGAAAGCGCGACGAGGGGAGCCCGAGUGCCCUUCCUUUUGGGAGGGCUUUUCCGGAGUCUAAAAAGCUCCGGGAAUAAGGGCUGGGCAAGACGGGUGCCAGCCGCCGCGGUAAUACCCGCAGCUCGAGUGGUGGCCACUAUUAUUGAGCCUAAAGCGUCCGUAGCCGGACCCGCAAAUCCCUGGGUAAAUCCUGGUGCUCAACAUCAGGAAUUCCGGGGAGACUGCGGGUCUUGGGACCGGGAGAGGCCGGAGGUACUCCCGGGGUAGGGGUAAAAUCCUGUAAUCCCGGGGGGACCACCUGUGGCGAAAGCGUCCGGCUUGAACGGCUCCGACGGUGAGGGACGAAGGCCAGGGGAGCAAACCGGAUUAGAUACCCGGGUAGUCCUGGCUGUAAACGCUGCCCGCUUGGUGUUGUCGGUCUCUCGGGGGCCGGCAGUGCCGGAGCGAAGGUGUUAAGCGGGCCGCUUGGGGAGUACGGCCGCAAGGCUGAAACUUAAAGGAAUUGGCGGGAGAGCACUGCAACGGGAGGAGCGUGCGGUUUAAUUGGAUUCAACGCCGGAAAACUCACCGGGGGCGACCGGCACAUGUGGGCCAGGCUGACGACCUUGCCCGAAUAAGAGCCGGAGAGGUGGUGCAUGGCCAUCGUCAGCUCGUACCGUAGGGCGUUCACUUAAGUGUGAUAACGAGCGAGACCCCCGUCCCCAGUUGCCACCUGUCCCUCCGGGGGCAGAGCACACUGGGGAGACCGCCAGCGCUAAGCUGGAGGAAGGUGGGGUCAACGGUAGGUCAGUACGCCCCGAAUCCCCCGGGCUACACGCGCGCUACAAAGGGCGGGACAAUGGGUUGCGACCCCGAAAGGGGGAGCUAAUCCUGAAACCCGUCCGUAGUUCAGAUCGAGGGCUGUAACUCGCCCUCGUGAAGCUGGAUUCCGUAGUAAUCGCGGGUCAACAUCCCGCGGUGAAUGCGCCCCUGCUCUUUGCACACACCGCCCGUCAAACCAUCCGAGUUGGCUCUAGGUGAGGCCCUGUUCUAUGGGCAGGGUCGAACCUGGGGUCAGCGAGGAGGGUUAAGUCGUAACAAGGUAUCCGUAGGGGAACCUGCGGAUGGAUCACCUCCU